UCUUUGGCUUUCUAGGGUUCCGUACAUUCAGUAGUCUGGUCCGAGAGAAAGCACAUAGCAACAGCUAUGGACACGGAGGGAGAAAAGCCCGGGAGGU
RNAcentral lists this small RNA (97 nucleotides) under Halalkalibacter krulwichiae. RNAcentral describes it as "Bacillus krulwichiae Guanidine-I sequence". It matches the Rfam family "Guanidine-I riboswitch aptamer". Rfam says of the family: This family represents a conserved RNA structure found upstream of the ykkC and yxkD genes in Bacillus subtilis and related genes in other bacteria. The function of this family is unclear although it has been suggested that it may function to switch on efflux pumps and detoxification systems in response to harmful environmental molecules. Nelson showed that this riboswitch senses and responds to guanidine and it was renamed Guanidine-I riboswitch. The record is from Rfam by way of RNAcentral. Lineage: Bacteria; Bacillati; Bacillota; Bacilli; Caryophanales; Bacillaceae.